GUGCUCACUUCAGCAGCACAUACACUAAAUUGGAACGAUAGAGAAGAUUAGCACGGCCCCUGUGCAAGGAUAACACACAAAUUCAUGAAGCGUUCCAUUUCUUU
Molecule: small nuclear RNA, 104 nt
Organism: Nycticebus coucang (slow loris)
Lineage: Eukaryota; Metazoa; Chordata; Mammalia; Primates; Lorisidae
Source: RefSeq, a predicted model, not a curated record